Molecule: non-coding RNA, 135 nt
Organism: Triticum aestivum (bread wheat)
Lineage: Eukaryota; Viridiplantae; Streptophyta; Magnoliopsida; Poales; Poaceae
Source: Rfam
CAACUACUCCCUCUAUCCCAAAUUUCUUGUCUUAGAUUUGUCUAGAUACGAAUGUAUCUAAUACUAAAAUGUGACUUGAUACAUCCGUAUCUAGACAAAUCUAAGACAAGAAUUUUGAGACGGACGGAGUACUUU